CCUUCCUGGAAAGUGGUCGUAUUGGUUGCAAUACGAUUUCGCGUUGUGAUAUCUCAAUAAAUUUUCAUAUUUUCUUGAAAAUUCGCGUUUAUUGUGUUGUUUUAUUACUUACUUAGUGGAAUAUCGUGUGAAUUAAUUGUUUAGUGAUUUUAUGCAACGCGAAGGCUCGCGAUCGCAAUCCUUGGGCGUGGCCGCCGCCAUUUUUCUUUGGCCACCCCUCCCCCUUCCCUUCCAUCGUCUCUUGUUCUGUGCAAUUUGUGUCGCGCGCAAAAUAAAAUGUUUUUGCCACUUACCAUGUCAUGCAAUUUUCAUAUUUGUAUUUGAUCGUGUGUCUGUGGCAAGGAUAUUUUGCAUGCAUAAUGUUUGCUUCAUGUGUUUACCUGUAAUAUCUUAAAGCUGGAAUGUAAAAUUGUAAAAAGUUUACUGAAAUACUACCUUAGAUUAUAAGCAUUUUAAUUUUGUCUUUUGAUUUCUUUGACUCUAAUAUCAUAUUUCAACAACAGGUGGUGCAAAAUGGUGGUAAAUAUGGCGACGCUUGGCGAAAUUUUUGCUGUGCCUACGAAGCGAAAACAAUGGAAAAAGACGAACGAUCAACGGUGAGUCUCCACUGUCUUGACACUUGUAUAACAACAAUAUUGGAUAUAUAGCAAAAAUGUUCUUAUACUUGUGUUACAACAGUUGAAAUUCACAGUAACAAAAUCAUUGUUUAGAAUGCCCGUCUUAACUUUGAAGACCAAUGGAAACGAAUAAAUUUAUUUUAACACUCAAUUUUUAUCAGUGAUAACAAAAUGAAGAUGAAAUUAAAAGAAAACAUCGAAGAUGUUGAGAAAAAGAAAUUUGAGAUUGAUUGAAAAUUGAUCCAUAUACAAAACUUUGAGAAAUUUGAAAGUGAAAUCAUGUGAGAUAAUAAAAGUUGACAAUUAACUAAAAGAAACAAGAAAAACUCCAAUCAAAAUUGAAGAAAAUAAUUGAAAAGGCCACUUAUUAAUGGCUGUUUAGACAUUUGAAUACCCUUUCCUCAUAUCUUUUCCUUUGUUCCUUGAUAUUUUUUUAUCCCUUUGUGCCUGUCAGUCUAGAUCGUCGGUGGUGCAGUGUAAAGCACUGGACUUUCGGGUCGGUUUCAAUCUCCGCCAUGUACCAAUGUGUUUUUCGGUUUUCGGAUUGCACAAGUACAAUUAUCCGACGUUCUUACGGUGAAGGAAAACAUCGUGAUGCAACCUGCACAUAUCGGCGAAGAAAUUCAAAGAUAUGUGUGAAGUCAACCAAUCCGCACUUGGCCAGCGUGGUUGACUAUGGCCUAGUCAUCUCUAACAUCAACUUUUACUGUCACAUACAGACGUAAUGCAAGCUAAUGUUGUUUUUUGACAACUCUUAAAUUAAUCGGUUCUCAAAGUUAGUUAUAAUAAGAUUUUUUAUCUAAUUUGGUGAUUGAAUCUUAUGAAGCGAGGAAUCAAACACCAAAGAUUAAGCAGUGGUCCACCUGUGUUGUUCUGUUGUAAAUGUGUUGCAUGCAGUGCUUUUAUUAUAUCUAUGCGCAGCCAAUUAAACGACACCAAUUACAACUUAUUUAUUUAUCAUUGAUGAAUCUUUGAAAUAAUUGCUUGAGACUAAUAUUAUAUUUCCACAACAGGUGGUGCAUACAGAAAUGUUGGCUUGGAUAGUUCAUGAACUAGAUGCUUGGCGCAAUUUUUGCAAUGCCUAAGAAACGAACACCAUGACUGCCAGUUCGAGGGUCGAAGAUGUCGAAAGAAAUUGAAGAUA
Long non-coding RNA from Papilio polytes (common Mormon), 1761 nucleotides. RefSeq lists it as uncharacterized. The record is from RefSeq and is a predicted model, not a curated record. NCBI's taxonomy places the organism in Eukaryota, Metazoa, Arthropoda, Insecta, Lepidoptera, Papilionidae. The transcript is spliced from 4 exons.